CCCUUAGAUGUCCUGGGCCGCACGCGCGUUACACUGAUGCAUUCAACGAGCUUAUAACCUUGGCCGAGAGGCCUGGGCAAUCUUGUUAACGUGCAUCGUGAUAGGGAUAGAUUAUUGAAAUUAUUAAUCUAGAACGAGGAAUUCCUAGUAAACGCAGAUCAUCAAUCUGCAUUGAUUACGUCCCUGCCCUUUGUACACACCGCCCGUCGCACCUACCGAUUGGAUGGUCCGGUGAAGCCUCGGGAUUGUGGUUCUUGCCGCUUUAUUGUGGCGUGACCGCGAGAACUUGUCUAAACCUUAUCAUCUAGAGGAAGGUGAAGUCGUAACA
RNAcentral lists this ribosomal RNA (328 nucleotides) under uncultured eukaryote. Its description in RNAcentral is "partial 18S ribosomal RNA". It matches the Rfam family "Eukaryotic small subunit ribosomal RNA", at positions 1470 to 1796 of the family's 1831-position model. The record is from RNAcentral.